This 402-nucleotide ribosomal RNA is filed under the name uncultured bacterium. RNAcentral's name for it is "bacterial SSU rRNA". It matches the Rfam family "Bacterial small subunit ribosomal RNA", at positions 355 to 774 of the family's 1533-position model. The record is from RNAcentral.
UCGGGAAUUUUGGGCAAUGGGCGAAAGCCUGACCCAGCAACGCCGCGUGAAGGAUGAAGUAUUUCGGUAUGUAAACUUCGAAAGAAUAGGAAGAAUAAAUGACGGUACCAUUUAUAAGCUCCGGCUAACUACGUGCCAGCAGCCGCGGUAAUACGUAGGGAGCAAGCGUUGUUCGGAUUUACUGGGCGUAAAGGGCGCGUAGGCGGCGCGGUAAGUCACUUGUGAAAUCUCUGAGCUUGACUCAGAACGGCCAAGUGAUACUGCUGUGCUAGAGUGCGGAAGAGGCAACCGGAAUUCUUGGUGUAGCGGUGAAAUGCGUAGAUAUCAAGAGGAACACCUGAGGCGAAGGCGGGUUGCUGGGCCGACACUGACGCUGAUGCGCGAAAGCCAGGGGAGCAAACG